This is a long non-coding RNA of Labeo rohita (rohu), 359 nucleotides long. RefSeq lists it as uncharacterized. The record is from RefSeq and is a predicted model, not a curated record. NCBI's taxonomy places the organism in Eukaryota, Metazoa, Chordata, Actinopteri, Cypriniformes, Cyprinidae. The transcript is spliced from 3 exons.
GCCAAGAGCUGAUGUUGUCACGUAGUCAGUGAAUUGAAAAGGGACCAGGACCGAGCCCUGUGGAACUCCAGUGUUAUUCACCACAACAUCUCAAGCACACAAGUCUUGAGCGUCAUGAGCUGCUGCCUUUCAGUAAGAACGAUCAUGGAAACGAGUUUCAUCUUCCCUCAGCAGAAAUUGAUUUGUGAGAGCAGGAACAAUGGGUGGAAUAUUGCAUUCUCACCCUUUCAGACCAGCAACGCAAGGUCCCAGAAAGUCUUACAAACUUUUUCUCAGAGGCACUUCUGAAUCGAGAGACAUCACUUAGCAAACCAAAUUUACCACAAAGAGUUGUUUUUCCUGCUGGAUAAACAGACAAG